UAUUAGACGUGUUGAAAAAAU
This is a non-coding RNA of Caenorhabditis elegans, 21 nucleotides long. The record is from Ensembl. Lineage: Eukaryota; Metazoa; Nematoda; Chromadorea; Rhabditida; Rhabditidae.